This 73-nucleotide transfer RNA is filed under the name Caudoviricetes sp. Its description in RNAcentral is "tRNA-Lys". It matches the Rfam family "tRNA". Rfam says of the family: Transfer RNA (tRNA) molecules are approximately 80 nucleotides in length. Lineage: Duplodnaviria; Heunggongvirae; Uroviricota; Caudoviricetes. The record is from RNAcentral.
CCUCCAUUAACUCAGUUGGUAGAGUAAUCGGCUUUUAACCGAAAAGUCCGGCGUUCGAGUCGCCGAUGGAGGA